Quercus lobata is the source of this 3917-nucleotide long non-coding RNA. RefSeq lists it as uncharacterized. Lineage: Eukaryota; Viridiplantae; Streptophyta; Magnoliopsida; Fagales; Fagaceae. The transcript has 4 exons. The record is from RefSeq and is a predicted model, not a curated record.
AGAGAGAGAGAGAGAGAGAGAGGCGAUGAGGCAAUGAAGGCUCCGUUCAAUCUGAUAAAAGAAAAAACCUCCAUUAAAAAAACAAAAAAAAACCAUUCCAGAGCACAUAUUUAUAACAAAGUAGCGCGUCUAACUCUAUCACUUCUUCACUCCAUAUUCGGAAGGUACGCAUUGAAUUUUUCUGGAACUUCUUACUAGCAAAGAGAGAAAUAUCUAAGGCUAGCCAUCACCAUCAAUUUCCCCACCACCAUCCGUUCCCUUUCCAGAUUCAGACCAUCAGAUCACCAGAACCGACAUCGACAACGGUUUUUUUGCCAAAAUACGGUUGAGAGAGAGAGAGAUAUGUUGCAAAAAUACAAGGAGAACCGAGAAAGAGAACAAUAGAGAGAGAGAUUCGGUCUGUCUCAAUUUCUCUCAAGAUUAGAAUUCACAUAAAGGCCUACUUCCUCCCAAAGUCUACGUCCUUCCAGAACUGCUACUGGUCUUUUAGAAGAAGUGACGUGGAUCUCUUUGGGGUAUGCUUUUCAAUUUGUUCAAUCUAUCAUUUUUUUGAAGAAUCAGGUAUUACCUUCAAACAAUGGGUAUGACCUUUUUAAUAGUUUGUUGAAUUCAUUUUUUUUCCCAAUUUAUUACACAUGGUACAAUUCUAGGUAUUAUACAAAAAUGAAAAAAUAAAAAUAAAAAAUGCCUCUUCAAAUGUGGCAUCAUGAUUAUGUGAGCAAGGUAUGUAUUCUCUUCAUGAUAUGUUGCGAUCAGAUUGUAUUCUAAUCAUGCACCACAACUGUGUAUUAUCCAUACUCUCAAGAGGAUUGACUCUAUAUAUCUUAUGUGCCUACUUUGCUAUAAUGGAUGUGGUUUAGUAUGGUGUGACUAGGUGCCAUGCAUUUGGAGUCUCAUUUGAGACUAACUGUGAGAGUUAACAAAACUAUUUUUUGAGAAAUUAAUAUAAGAAAUGCAUUUACUAAAUAGGAGUACAUUAAUAGAAAAGACAUUCCUAAAUCCCUAAAAAUUAUUUGCAAAAAAAUUGUAAAACCCAGGUUGAAUCAAAUGCAAUCCAAAUAGUGGUAAUGUUUAUUUGCAAUGGUAAAUAUACGCAUCACUUUAUCAUGCAUAGUGGUAAUGUUUAUUUUUCAUGACUUCUAUUUGUUCAGAGUUUAGGAAAAAAAAUUUUGUUUUGGCCAGAAGGAGAUGAUUGUUAAGAGAUUGAAUACAUACUAGAUUGCUUUCGAAUAUGCUUUGUUUGUUUUUGUGUUUUUCUAUUAAAAUAAAAAUAUAUGGGAAAAAUUGUGUGCUUCAUAUUUGCUUAAGUUGGUAGAAGUCUUGACAGUGAUAAAUUUUUGUUUCUCAAGGUUCAGCAAAGGUGAGUGUAGACUUAUUGACAAUUUUUUUUUCAAAGUGAAAUUGGAAGUAGGAACAAAUAAAGAAAUAGCAAAGAUUUUGUUAAAAAAAUGUGUUACUUCAUAUCAAGGGAUUAUUUAUUUAAUAUGUUUGUAUGAUUAUUUCCUGCCAUUUUAAAAAACCUUCUUACCCUUUCACUUUUUGUUGAAAUUCAGAUUUGCUGAAUUUUCCCUGUCAAGUAUGAAACUUAAUAAUUAAUGAAUAUGCCAAAUUUCAACUUGGAUGGUUUAAGAUCUGAAAGUUUAGACUGCAUAGUUAUGGGUUUACCCUCUUUCUAUUGAUGUUACGAUAUGAGAUUAUUACUUCUGGUAGUUAUUUUGCGUUGCUGGAAUUUUGCUCAUGAAGAACAAGAAAAGGCAUAUAUUUUAGAAGAUGAUUCAGUUAUUGUUGCUUUGGUAUAUGAAUAAAAAUAAUUAAUUAUUGAAUGAGUUUUGAAUUUUUUUUUUAUUUACAUAUUCUGGAGUAUUUAAUAAAACCCAAUUUCUUGAUAUGUUAAUUUAAGUGCUAUUUGGGAAGAAUAGAAAGUAGUUUGUACCACCUGAGAAAUUUCUUUUUAAUGUUGCUUGUUUAGAAAUGGAUAUGUGUUCUUCUUUCUACUAUGCAUUCUAAAUUUUUUAUUUUUUGUGGGAAAGGGUCAAAAAGAAAGAAAUAAACUAAAGAAUAGAGCACAUGGUGUGUGUAUAGUGUCUUAGGUAAAUUUGGAGAACUAUGUUGAAACGUUCAUAUGCUAAGAAGUUUUUUUCCCUGCCUAAAAAAAAAGAACCAAGAAAUUAAACCAGAAAUAAUAGUCUAUCUGAAGUGAAGGAAAUGUCUAUACUUGAUGAAAUGAAGGACUUUUACCUUUGUUCUCUGAUGUAAAAAGUUAAGAAACAGAAAAUAUCCAAACUACUUGAUGUGUUUAAAUUUGUUAAAGAUGAGAUUUUAGAUGUAAUUCCUCCAGCAUGUAUGUGCUUCAACUUUGGACAUUAGUUUAGUAAAAAUUUUCUUGACACUAUAGUGCUUAUGACCAUUACAUGCUUGAAACUUCCAUGGAGGAGAUUUGGUGGCUUGGAUUAUAAGAUGCAUUCUUAGAAUUUAGACUACAAAAGAUUGAGCAAAGUGUAACUUGGCAGAGAAAAAAUAUGAAUUUGUUUUUCUUUUCCAAUUUUGUUUUAGGUUCUUUUGUGGUUUUCAACUUUUCAUAGAUUUAAUUUAGAGUGUUUCUUCCAAUAGAUAUUAAAAUAUUGUUUCUUUGUUUUUAUACAUUGGAAUUUUACCUUAUAUUAUUAUUGAAUACGUUCUCCUUAGUUUUCGUGAUUGUUAUAGAUUAGCAAAAAUAGUUUGAGUGGAUUAUGAAUAGAAGUGCACUUCUACUAAAGAAAACAAUUUUUGAAAUGUGGAGCUCAAAAGGUUGUAUUAGCUUCUAUCAUUUUAGAGGUUACAUUUAAACAUGGACAACAAUCAUCCAUUUAGCACACCAAAGAAUCCAUUUUGUUCUUAUUGUGUAUACCUUUGUAGUUGGCAUGUUCAAGAUGGACAAAAUAAAAAAAUAAUGCAUGUGAGAAGAUAUGUAUUUGUCAUCAUUUUUUUUUCCAAGUGCUAUUGUGCUAUAGUUUUUACAGGUGAAUGAUGAGGGCCCAAUUCAUCCAAGUGAAAUAGAGCUGGCACUUACAGUUCAUUAGGGCUAGAAUAUGGCUUAGCUCACUAAAUGAUUUUUGGGUUAAUGAGUUCUUAGACUUUAUUUUCUGCAAUGGCGAAUUUUGGACUUUUGACAAUGUUAUUAAACCUAACUCUAUAUCCCACAAUUGUCAUUUUUGUUUUUUGAAUUGAUUGGCAUUAUUAAAACAAAGCCUUUAAUAAACAUAUUGACUAUUGUAUUUAUUGUAUAGUUAUGUCAAAUUGAUAGUAUUUUAAAUGUGUAAAAUGUACCCCACGCAUUGCGCGGGUUAAAUGCUAGUUCUGAUAAUAGACAUUCUUAUACCCUUGAUAAAUUGCUGUUUACACUUUUAGAGCAACUUUGGUGAAAUGAUGCGUUCCCUUUCAUGUACAAUCUCUUUUAGGUUGAUUUGGAGUAUUGCAGAUGAACCUGAAUAAUCUGGAAUUAUUGCAUCUGAUAAGCAUGCUGCUGCCAGGUACUUUCAAUGGAUUACACUUGCCAAAAAGAAAAAGGAAAAAAAGGGGGGGAUGGGGGGGGAAGUUAGAUACAAUUUUUCAGGGAUAAUUUUCGGGAAGUCUGUAAAUUUGGCUGGAAUUCGGCAACUUGUAUUGUUGGUAGUGCCAUUGGUGCACUAUGCAUUGCAGGCAUUCUUUUUAUUGUUGUAUUAAGUUUUACAUUGAUACAUGGCAUGAAGUAACAAAAGUUAUGGAGGUCGCCCAUUGUGCUUUUCCAAUUUCCUAUCUAGUAUUUUCCACGGAGUUGAAUGUGUUUGUGAUGGACGAACAAAGGACACAGUUCUGACUGGCAUAUGGUUCAAGUUUCUUCUUAUGUGAUACAUGCAACAGUUAAAUAUAAAUGAUGAUCUUUUAACUUCUUGGUAUAA